Molecule: ribosomal RNA, 247 nt
Filed under: uncultured bacterium
Lineage: Bacteria
Description: partial 16S ribosomal RNA
Rfam family: Bacterial small subunit ribosomal RNA
Source: RNAcentral
GAUACCUGGCUCAGGAUGAACGCUAGCUACAGGCUUAACACAUGCAAGUCGAGGGGCAGCGUGAACUUAGCUUGCUAAGUUUGAUGGCGACCGGCGCACGGGUGAGUAACACGUAUCCAACCUGCCGAUGACUCGGGGAUAGCCUUUCGAAAGAAAGAUUAAUACCCGAUGGCAUAGUUCUUCCGCAUGGUAGAACUAUUAAAGAAUUUCGGUCAUCGAUGGGGAUGCGUUCCAUUAGGUUGUUGGG